RNAcentral lists this ribosomal RNA (241 nucleotides) under uncultured archaeon. RNAcentral's name for it is "partial 16S ribosomal RNA". It matches the Rfam family "Archaeal small subunit ribosomal RNA", at positions 1100 to 1341 of the family's 1478-position model. The record is from RNAcentral.
AGGGACCGCCGUCGCUGAGACGGAGGAAGGUGGGGGCUACGGCAGGUCAGUAUGCCCCGAAACCCUCGGGCCACACGCGGGCUGCAAUGGUAAGGACAAUGAGUUUCGAUUCCGAAAGGAGGAGGCAAUCUCUAAACCUUACCACAGUUAUGAUUGAGGGCUGAAACUCGCCCUCAUGAAUAUGGAAUCCCUAGUAACCGCGUGUCACUAUCGCGCGGUGAAUACGUCCCUGCUCCUUGCA